UACGGAGGGUGCGAGCGUUGUCCGGAAUCACUGGGCGUAAAGGGCGCGUAGGUGGCCUGUGGAAGUCUGCGGUGAAAGCCCGGCGCUCAACGCCGGGUCGGCCGUGGAUACUCUCGGGCUCGAGCUUACUAGAGGCAGAUGGAAUUCCGGGUGUAGCGGUGGAAUGCGUAGAGAUCCGGAAGAACACCAGUGGCGAAGGCGGCCCGCUGGGCAGUGGCUGACGCUGAGGCGCGACAGCGUGGGGGAGCAAACAGG
Molecule: ribosomal RNA, 255 nt
Filed under: uncultured bacterium
Lineage: Bacteria
Description: partial 16S ribosomal RNA
Rfam family: Bacterial small subunit ribosomal RNA
Source: RNAcentral